CAAAUACUUCCUCCGUCCAGAAAUACUUGUCAUCAAAAUGGAUAAAAGGAAAUGUAUCUAGACGUAUUUUAGUUUUAGAUACAUCUCUUUUUAUCCAUUUUGAUGACAAGUAUUUUCGGGCGGAGGGAGUAGAAA
Molecule: non-coding RNA, 135 nt
Organism: Triticum aestivum (bread wheat)
Lineage: Eukaryota; Viridiplantae; Streptophyta; Magnoliopsida; Poales; Poaceae
Source: Rfam